This 358-nucleotide unclassified non-coding RNA is filed under the name uncultured bacterium. Its description in RNAcentral is "contains 16S-23S intergenic spacer region". The record is from RNAcentral.
UCCCUCGUGAGAGGGCAGUCUCGCCUGACAUGUAAAACAGGCAACGCGGGUUGCGUUCGUUACCCCACUGAAGGGAACAACUCAAGCCACGAACUGACGACGACCAUGCAUCACCUGCCCAGCCGCCUUGCGGAAGACUAGUUUCCUAGCCGGUCGUCUGGGUGCAAACCCUGGUGAGGUUCUUCGUUUGCCAUCGAAUUGAGCCGCAUGAUCCACCGCUUGUGCAAGUCCCCGUCUAUUCCUUUGAGUUUUAAUCUUGCGAUCGUACUACCCAGGCGCAUAACUUAACGCGUUAGCUUCGCCUCGCAGAGGGUCGAUACUCCGCAAAGCCAGUUAUGAUCGUUUAGGGCGUGGACUA